GACGAACGCUGGCGGCGUGCCUAAUACAUGCAAGUAGGACGCAGUUGCGAACGGGUGAUUAACGCCUUGGUAACUACCUAUUAGAGGGGGAUAACUAUUGGAAACGAUCGCUAAUACCGCAUACUAGUAGAUGGACCUGCGUUGUAUUAGCUAGUUGGUAGGGUAAUGGCUUACCUAGGCAACGAUACAUAGCCGACCUGAGAGGGUGAUCGGCCAAAACUGGACUGGGACACGGCCCAGACUCCUACGGGAGGCAGCAGUAGGGAAGCUUCGGCAAUGGGGGGAAGCCUGACCGAGCAACGCCGCGUGAGUGAAGAAGGUUUUCGGAUCGUAAAGCUCUGUUGUUAAGGAAGCGGUACUUAACCAGAAAGGGACGGCUAACUACGUGCCAGCAGCCGCGGUAAUAC
RNAcentral lists this ribosomal RNA (407 nucleotides) under uncultured bacterium. RNAcentral describes it as "partial 16S ribosomal RNA". It matches the Rfam family "Bacterial small subunit ribosomal RNA", at positions 28 to 526 of the family's 1533-position model. The record is from RNAcentral.